UUAGAUACCCCACUAUGCCCCGCCGUAAACUUAGAUGUGAAAGCACAACAAACAUCCGCCAGGGGACUACGAGCGUCAGCUUAAAACCCAAAGGACUUGGCGGUGCUUCAAACCCCCCCUAGAGGAGCCCUGUCUA
Molecule: ribosomal RNA, 136 nt
Filed under: vertebrate environmental sample
Lineage: Eukaryota; Metazoa; Chordata
Description: partial 12S ribosomal RNA
Source: RNAcentral